AUUCCAGAAGGAGAAUGGCGAGUACCAGGUGGACUACUCACGCUUCCAUAACACUGUUCCAGUGGAUACUCCCACCUGUUCAGCUAAAGAGCUAGCAGAGAUGGGUGAUGAGGAUGAAGAAGACACGGGUUAUAAUGGCUAUAUGGAUGGAGAUGACAGCUCUUCUACCAGUGAAGCCACUAUAAGUUCCAGAACCAGCCAUACACCUUUACCAAGUCCGUAUAUUCUUAAGAAAAAUGGUUGUGUGCAAACCACUGAUCAUGACUUUGCUGAUGACUUGGAGCCUAUAGCCAGGAUGGGUUCUAUAAGAAGCUCUGGAGGCAAUGAUGAACCAGCUUUUUAUUGAACAGCAAUAGGUAUUUUACCAUAGUUGUUUAUUUGAGGCACAACAGUUGAGACUGCCGUUUUAGGACACAUCACAUAAACAGUUUGACAGGACAGGAGGGAGUUAGGUGUAUCCCAGUAAACAUUGCAAGCUGUACCAUAGUAAGACGGGAGCUUGAUUUGAACUUGAGGCCACAGAGGUCAAGACCCACUGGCAGCCAGCCCUCUGCAUAGUGUCAUUGGUACAUUCUUGAUAAUGUCCAUGAACAAGAUUCUUCCUACUGGCCACCUUUCUCCUUAAAGGUGCAUUUCAGGUAACCAACUCUUUGGUGUUCAGGAGUACACUGCAAUAGGAAGUUCAACUGAAACCCCUGCUAGAUUUGUGUCUCUUUACAGAUUUACUGACCAUAUUACUUGCAUAGGCUUCUUUAUGAAACCAUUCAUAAAGAACUGUUAUUUAUAGAACUUGUUGUUUCAGAUCCACACCAUUUUUAAACAGAAAGCAGUGCAUUGAUUGUUUGUCGGUCAGUAGUGAUUCACAGAACAUUAAUAGCAAUUGAUUUAUAGUUGUGUAACUGAAGUGGUCUGAUGACCUUUUAUAAAUUGAUUUACAUUAACAGCAUCAUGAUAUUAAAUUUUUGCUCACAGCUACUUGUUUUGGUUUACAGUAAACUAGACUGUGCAUCUAAUAAAAGAUCAAUAGUUCCAAGGGUACCGUCAGAUACUGAAAUAAAUAUGUUGAUUUGUAAACUGGUAUUACUCAUAGGAUAAGACAAAAUGUGGUCAGAGAGAUGUAUAUGCCAGGGAAUAAAAAAUGCUGAGAAGUGAAUUCAUCAUGAAAAGAUGCACUGCAAAAUUAUGGGCACAUAUCUUCUUUUUGUUGUAUUUUUGAGAUCAAAGUAAAAUUCAGAUUUGCUGGGCUAUUAAAGUAACAGGUUUGCACAUAACAUGAAAUAACAACAUUUAUUGUGUGAUUAAAAGUGUGGAAAUAUUCUUAAUUUUAUAAAUAUUCUGGUAAUCGUAUGUAUUAGAUGUGAUGUGGUAUAUAUUGUUUUAAAGGUAAAGAAUUAUCUUUAAUUGUAUAUUUUAGUGCUUUACAGCAUAUUGCACAGCGUAUAUGGUAAUGGGAAAUUGUGACACUUAGCAUUUGCCACAGUAUCAGAUGAACAAAAUUCCAGUGAAUGCUGAUAUUUAAAGCACUGGAUUGUAAAUUUUGCAGUGAACAACUUUACUUUAAUUUGCUCUGAAUGGAUUUUUUCAGUGCCUUGAAUUGUAUGUGCCUAAAAUGAAAAGAAGCCCAAAUGUGUGUGUAAGUUUAUUUAGUGCAUGUGAAAUGUUUAACACUGUUUUUGUGUUAUUUACAUGUUAGCAUAAUUUUGGGAUUCAAUUUUGAAAGGCAGGGAACAUGAUGAGAAUUUACCUCUUCCAAAAUCCUGUAAUUAAUCGUAAAUACUAAUGAUGAAUAGAUGUGCUUAUAGGACUGUUUGUUGAAAUUGUGUUUUGUGAUUUUAUAGUAAUUUUAAAGUGAGUUUCUCUGUCAUAAGUAUCUCUUAGUAGGAAUGAUUAAGAAUCAACAUACUAUAGAUGUAAAACUUAAAGUCAAAUAAAUGCUAAAUAGGAUUAGUAUAACAAUCAUGUAUGAGCACUGUAAGCUAACAUUGUGAAGAUACAUAUAAGUCAACUAAUGUAAAAACAGCAUAUACAUUGUAAAAAUAUAUUGUAUAAUAUAGGGAUUUUUUAUUAUGAUCAUAGGUAGUCAUUAUUAGCUUUAUACACAUCCUUUUAUAAUACAACAGAUUUAAACUCACAAAUAAAUAAAUAAUGGUGCUGCCA
This 2157-nucleotide long non-coding RNA is filed under the name Lingula anatina. RNAcentral's name for it is "uncharacterized LOC106161948". Lineage: Eukaryota; Metazoa; Brachiopoda; Lingulata; Lingulida; Lingulidae. The record is from RNAcentral.